ACGCCGACAUGGCCGGCGCGGGUGAAAGGGUAGUAUCUGUUCUUAUCAGCUGAAUAUCUGAUACGGGUUGUAUUUGUACCUAAGAUAUUAAACUUAUUUUUGCAAGUUGGCGGAGUGCUUGAAGCUUGCUUCACCUCCGCCACGGGCAGGCGCGGUAUUGCACUAUCUUCAGGAUCAGCCCAGAUUAU
Dermacentor albipictus is the source of this 188-nucleotide small nuclear RNA. RefSeq annotates it as U2 spliceosomal RNA. The record is from RefSeq and is a predicted model, not a curated record. NCBI's taxonomy places the organism in Eukaryota, Metazoa, Arthropoda, Arachnida, Ixodida, Ixodidae.